This 69-nucleotide transfer RNA is filed under the name Ictidomys tridecemlineatus (thirteen-lined ground squirrel). Its description in RNAcentral is "Spermophilus tridecemlineatus (thirteen-lined ground squirrel) tRNA". It matches the Rfam family "tRNA". From Rfam's summary of the family: Transfer RNA (tRNA) molecules are approximately 80 nucleotides in length. Their secondary structure includes four short double-helical elements and three loops (D, anti-codon, and T loops). RNAcentral also lists the same sequence under 1 other name. Lineage: Eukaryota; Metazoa; Chordata; Mammalia; Rodentia; Sciuridae. The record is from Rfam by way of RNAcentral.
GGGGCUGUGGCUCAGCGGUAGAGCACCCGCCUCUCAAGUGCAAGGCCCUGGGUUUGAUCCUCAGCACCA